RNAcentral lists this ribosomal RNA (386 nucleotides) under uncultured Katablepharidophyta. RNAcentral describes it as "partial small subunit ribosomal RNA". It matches the Rfam family "Eukaryotic small subunit ribosomal RNA", at positions 30 to 432 of the family's 1831-position model. Lineage: Eukaryota; Cryptophyceae; Kathablepharidacea. The record is from RNAcentral.
GCUUGUCUCAAAGAUUAAGCCAUGCAUGUCUAAGUGUAAAUAAGUCUAUACUGUGAAACUGCGAAUGGCUCAUUAAAUCAGUUAUCGUUUAUUUGAUGAUCUCUUACUACUUGGAUAACCGUAGUAAUUCUAGAGCUAAUACAUGCACAAAAUCCCGACUUACGAAGGGAUGUAUUUAUUAGAUACAAACCAACAUCGUGGUGAUUCAUAAUAACCGAACGAAUCGUAUGGCAUCAGCUGGCGAUGAAUCAUUCAAGUUUCUGACCUAUCAGCUUCCGACGGUAGGGUAUUGGCCUACCGUGGCAAUGACGGGUAACGGAGAAUUAGGGUUCGAUUCCGGAGAGGGAGCCUGAGAAACGGCUACCACAUCUAAGGAAGGCAGCAGG